Molecule: ribosomal RNA, 433 nt
Filed under: uncultured bacterium
Lineage: Bacteria
Description: partial 16S ribosomal RNA
Rfam family: Bacterial small subunit ribosomal RNA
Source: RNAcentral
AACGAACGCUGGCGGCAUGCCUAACACAUGCAAGUCGAACGAGACCUUCGGGUCUAGUGGCGCACGGGUGCGUAACGCGUGGGAACCUGCCCUUAGGUUCCGAACAACUCCCCGAAAGGGGUGCUAAUACCGGAUAAUGUCUUCGGACCAAAGAUUUAUCGCCUUUGGAUGGGCCCUCGUUGGAUUAGCCAGUUGGUAGGGUAAAAGCCUACCAAGGCGACGAUCCAUAGCUGGUCUGAGAGGAUGAUCAGCCACACUGGGACUGAGACACGGCCCAGACUCCUACGGGAGGCAGCAGUGGGGAAUAUUGGACGAUGGACCAUAGCCUGAUCCAGCAAUGCCGCGUGAGUGAUGAAGGCCUUAGGGUUGUAAAGCUCUUUUACCCGGGAUGAUAAUGACAGUACCGGGAGAAUAAGCUCCGGCUAACUCCGUG